GAUGAACGCUGGCGGCGUGCCUAAUACAUGCAAGUCGAGCGAACGGACGAGAAUCUUGCUUCUCUGAUGUUAGCGGCGGACGGUUGAGUAACACGUGGAUAACCUACCUAUAAGACUGGGAUAACUUCGGGAAACCGGAGCUAAUACCGGAUAAUAUUUUGAACCGCAUGGUUCAAAAGUGAAAGACGUUCUUGCUGUCACUUAUAGAUGGAUCCGCGCUGCAUUAGCUAGUUGGUAAGGUAACGGCUUACCAAGGCAACGAUGCAUAGCCGACCGGAGGGGGGGAUGGGCGACAAUGAAAGGGAGACACGGCCGAGAAGACGCCGGGGGGAAGCAGUAGGGAGGGGUACGCAAUGGGGGAAGGCAGGACGGAGCAACGACGCGGGGGGGAUGAAGGGCGUCGGAGGGUAAAAAACUGUUAUUAGGGAAGAAGAAAGGUGUAAGUAACGGGGCACAGCUGAAGGGAACCGAGCAGAAAGCCACGGCUAACUACGUG
Molecule: ribosomal RNA, 496 nt
Filed under: uncultured bacterium
Lineage: Bacteria
Description: partial 16S ribosomal RNA
Rfam family: Bacterial small subunit ribosomal RNA
Source: RNAcentral